UACGUAGGGCGCAAGCGUUAUCCGGAAUUAUUGGGCGUAAAGAGCUCGUAGGCGGUUUGUCGCGUCUGCCGUGAAAGUCCGGGGCUCAACUCCGGAUCUGCGGUGGGUACGGGCAGUCUAGAGUGAUGUAGGGGAGACUGGAAUUCCUGGUGUAGCGGUGAAAUGCGCAGAUAUCAGGAGGAACACCGAUGGCGAAGGCAGGUCUCUGGGCAUUAACUGACGCUGAGGAGCGAAAGCAUGGGGAGCGAACAGG
RNAcentral lists this ribosomal RNA (253 nucleotides) under uncultured bacterium. RNAcentral's name for it is "partial 16S ribosomal RNA". It matches the Rfam family "Bacterial small subunit ribosomal RNA", at positions 524 to 776 of the family's 1533-position model. The record is from RNAcentral.